Molecule: RNase P RNA, 390 nt
Filed under: Actinomadura parmotrematis
Lineage: Bacteria; Bacillati; Actinomycetota; Actinomycetes; Streptosporangiales; Thermomonosporaceae
Description: Actinomadura sp. PM05-2 RNase P RNA component class A
Rfam family: Bacterial RNase P class A
About the family: Ribonuclease P (RNase P) is a ubiquitous endoribonuclease, found in archaea, bacteria and eukarya as well as chloroplasts and mitochondria.
Source: RNAcentral
CGAGCCGGCCGGACGGCCGCGUCGGGGCAUCGCCCCGUCGAGGAAAGUCCGGGCUCCACAGGGCAGGGUGGUCGGUAACGCCGACCCGGGGCGACCCGCGGGACAGUGCCACAGAGAGCAGACCGCCACCGGGCCUCGGCCCGGCGGUAAGGGUGAAAGGGUGAGGUAAGAGCUCACCAGCGCCCACGGCGACGUGGGCGGCUAGGUAAACCCCACCCGGAGCAAGGUCAAGAAGGAGAACGGAACCGUUCUCCGCGCAGGCGUUCGAGGGCGGCUCGCCCGAGCCUGCGGGUAGACCGCUGGAGGCCGUCGGCAACGGCGGCCCGAGAUGGAUGGCCGUCACCCGUCGCAAGACGGGCACAGAACCCGGCUUACAGGCCGACUCGUCCG